GCCGAAUCUAACUGUGUAUGUAGAUUCUUAAUUUUUUGUCCCGUUUUCAAAUUGGUCUACAUUAAGGUCCAAAGGGUCCAAAAUUAAACUUAGUUUGAUUUUAACAAAAAUUGAAUCCUUGGGGUUCUUUGAUAUGCUGAAUCUUAAAAUGUACUUAGAUUUUUUAUUAUUGGCCCAGUUUUCAAGUUGGUCCAAAUCUGG
RNAcentral lists this long non-coding RNA (201 nucleotides) under Mytilus galloprovincialis (Mediterranean mussel). Lineage: Eukaryota; Metazoa; Mollusca; Bivalvia; Mytilida; Mytilidae. The record is from RNAcentral.